This 84-nucleotide transfer RNA is filed under the name Paracoccaceae bacterium. RNAcentral's name for it is "Rhodobacteraceae bacterium tRNA-Leu". It matches the Rfam family "tRNA". From Rfam's summary of the family: Transfer RNA (tRNA) molecules are approximately 80 nucleotides in length. RNAcentral also lists the same sequence under 1 other name. Lineage: Bacteria; Pseudomonadati; Pseudomonadota; Alphaproteobacteria; Rhodobacterales; Paracoccaceae. The record is from RNAcentral.
GCCCGAGUGGUGGAAUGGUAGACGCAGCGGAUUCAAAAUCCGCCGCCGCAAGGCUUGUCGGUUCGAGUCCGACCUCGGGCACCA